UUAAGCAAUGAUGUAGUUCCCCUUCCCCGUGCUCCAGGGUGGCAUUUAAGUCAGCAAGGGUGGCAUUCUUUCCAGUGUGAAUGCAGUCAGCAGGAUUUUCUACGUAAAUAAUUUACUCUAUAAAGUACCUGUAUUAACAUGUCACUGUCAAAUCACUUUGUGUGGUAGGGUAAGAUCACUGCCUUAAAUAUGGUAGCUUAGUUCACAACUAUUUUAAGCAGUCUUAAAGGACUUUAGAAUUUUGGCUGCCGUCAUAGGCUCCUUGAAGGUCACUCUAAGUGAUGGCUGCAGUGGAAAAUUUCCUCUCUGUGACCUACGGGAAAAUUUUAAGCAAGGAGGUCAUGAAAUCACUCUUAUUUCAAUGCAAUCCAGGCAAAGAUUUAUUCGUAAGGUUCGGGAAAAUGACUAGAGAAAUGAUUCCCUGUUGGGAGAAAGGGGACCCCCACUCCUCAGAUAGGAUUAUUUAGACUCUUACAUUUCCUUCCCUCUCAUAGGAAAAUGUAAGAGGAUUAAAGUAAAGAUCCUAUAAUCUAACAUUUAGCUUUAUUCACUUUCAUAUCUUUUUUUCUUACAUGUCCUCCUGCAACGUAAAUGGUGAACACAGACUGCCUGAGCUGAUAUGCUUUUCCUCUGUCUUUGAACUCUGCUAACGGGCCCCAGAAAGUAGAAACAUUCUGACUUUUUGGAUAUUUCAGAUCAGUGUAGUUAAAUAAUAGAGUUGGUAAGCAGAAAAAAGUGGCCAGUCCAACUGAGGGAAAAAAAACCCCAAACUCAAGAUUUCUUCAGAUAAAAAAUGAAAGAGUCUGAGGAGUUAAGGCCACGAAUUAAGCUAGCACUUCUUGCAAGCCAAGCGCAACAGGGUCUGACUUUAUUAUUGUCUCUGGAAGUCUCCCCUUUGAACUAAAGGAAAAUGAGGGCUAGAACCUGGGUGUGAGAAGACUGAAGAAACCAAAGGAAAGGAUGGGGUAGUGUUUGCAAAGGGAGAUGGUUGAGGCUGGGAGCUGAUGGCUUUCAUUGGUUGAGGAGCUCUAAAGAACUAGGGUAAGUCUCUGAGUCACAACCAGAUGGAAUGAGGUGUACACUGCUCUGAGUCUGCCUCGCCGUGUUAGGUGUUAACACCAAAGUGCCAAAGAGCUGCCUGUACUUGGGCUCUGGAAGGCUGGAUGAGGUGGACUUGUGCCCAUGUUCAAGUCCUCCCACCAAGGUGGCGUGCAGGGAAGCCCUUAGGGCACAGGGAAUCAUGGCAGAGAAGUGCUGUACUGUGAGAGAUUUGUCACACAUUCCCACCUGGCUACCAAAUGUGUUCUCUGCUGUGAUGUUUUUUUUAUGUGUUAUGGGGUAUGGCUUCCCUCUGAUUGUCACUAUUUUGUCAAGUCAUGAUAGAAAUAGAAGGGCUUUCCAAAAUAUUUUCCUGUUUUUUUUUUAUGCUUUCAGCAGCCUGGAAGUGCCACACUACGAAUAGAGCAGUGGAUGGUUAUGUCUGUCUUAAAGAAAUGCAGUAGUGGGAAAUAGUGCCACCUGCAUACUUGAAAAUAUGUUGUCAUGCUGCACAAGCUUGUAACUCAGGACAUGUUUUAGGCUGUGGUAGGAGUGCAGACACUGUUUGUUGUUUGAUUCCAGUUGCUGCAUCUGGCUUUCAAGCAAGUAAAUUGAAAGAUGGAUGCUUUUGUGAUUAUAGCAAUGUUGUUUGAUCCAUGGGUUAUAUGGAGGAAGUAGAGAGAGAGUUCAUGAUAUCUACCAGCAGAAAGCUUUCAGAGUCCUUGAGCAGAGACAUUUUGUCCCGUGUGAGCAGAAUUGCUUUGGUGCAAAGAGGAAAGCUUUGCAAGGUGGAGGAGUGAUUUGGAGGCUGUCUGCUGUUUACUGAAAAGCUGUUCCUGAGAACUCAUUGUGGUUGCACAUGGCUGAGGAAAACUUCACAAGACUGAGCAUUUACUUAAGAGACAUGCUAAAAAAGCGCUGAAGACCAUUUCCACAUGUGGGUGGUGAAUGUAGUUGCAUCAGCUGUAAGAAGGAUUCAUACAGCUGGCAGUAAAAGCAAACAGAUCCUUGAUAUUGCUGGGUGGGCACGAAGGUGAACUGAGGAACCAUGGAGGAAAGGGCUAUGUGCUCCACAGUGCUGCCUGACCCAUGCUCUUCUUCUCUGAUCCAUCCCUCUGCUUGAAGCAGAGUGUAUUUAGUGCAGUUAUUGUGUGCUACUUCAGCCUGGGAGAGCUGGGCUUGGAGACUCUUAUCUCUAUUUUUAGUGCUUUUUGUCCUUUCUUAUUGACAUUUUCCCUAAUGUGCACAUCUUCAGAUCAUUUGGUUUCCUUCUAUUGGUAAGAAUUGGAUAGCAUCCCACCAAAUAGUCUGUCGGCUGCUCAGUUUCCCACAUAGUCUUCUAUGCAAGUGUCUGCACAGUUUUUAGAGGAGGAGUACACUUUCAAAGCAAGAAUGAAUGUAAGUGCCUAAGUGUACAAAUUGUACAUAGCAGAUCACACUAUUUAUAUCAUGCUGCACCUGUGGAGCCUUUGUGAAUGCACAUUCAUUAAACCAGCAUGAUUACUUGUUAAAAAGAGCUCCUCUUAAUGACAGCCUUUGCUUACUAAACUGAAAAAAGGAAAAAAUGUGCAAAUUAAUACUGAUCUUUGCUUAAUGUACUCUGCUAUGCUUGCAGUAAGAUUAUUAUGUGUUCCAACUGCACUGCUGAUUUUAAAAUUAAUUUUACUUAGCUGAUGGAUGCAUAUUCUAUACUAAAAUAUCUGGAUAUUUUGUAGUCUUAACGGUAUUCCAGAAACACCUUUAGUGAACUGACAGACAAGUAGAUUAUGUAGUGAUAAAUUUCCCUUUCAGUUGCAUCAGAGAGCUGCUUCUCCUUUUCUCAGACCAAAAAUCUGAGAAUUUCACGUGCUACAAGAAAACAGGUGAAUCGCGACUGAGGUUUUGAACUGCCAAUUCUGUUCUAUAAAUGGGAAAGACUGUGCUACCAGGUUUAACACACUCAGAUGAUGCUCCUCAUCCCCUUCAAGUUGAUAUUAGACUGGAAAACAGCCUUCUGUUGCUCUACUGUACCUCUCUAGGUGCUGCUACUGAUGCAGGCUGAUGUAAUGUUGAGCAAUUCUCUUUCCUAAUUUAUAUCAUAAAUUUAUAGAUGGAGGUGAUGGUACCCUCUUUUUACAAGCAUUUUGUAUUCUGAGUAUGGAACACAAAAUGCAGUUUCUAAUACAACUCUAUUUCUUAGAAGGCAGUUUUGAAUAAUAAGGUGUAAAUGAACCCAGAGGCAGAAAGGCUGAGAAAGAAUUGGAAUUGCAGAAGUUUUUGGCAUGUAAUUGCAUUGCCGUACAAGGAGGGCUGUGGUUCACCCAGGUAAUUAUUCCACAAAAUGCUGGGGUUGUGCAUGCAGCUUUCAUAGUGGUGAAACCUCUGUUUUCUCUCAGUAAUCCAAGCAUUAAAACAGACAUAAUACUUUUUUCCUUUUCUUCUUUGUUGUUUUUAGUAGCGCAGCUUCAUUAGCGCACACCUUUAUUAGUGCAGCUUCCUUGCCAAAUGACCAUUGGUAGUAUAGCACCAUUUAAAGAUUGCACUGGAUUCUGUAUUUUUGUCUGUCUCCACUGCUUCAGAAUUGUUUUUUACAGCUUGAGUUACCUGAAAAGCCAGAGCUUCAGGAUUAAUUGCCUUUUCAGUGGUUGUGUCUUCCUUGCAAUUGUGUCUUACAAACUACAGUUGGAAAGUUGACUGAAUGUUUGACUGUCGAAGUAGCACUCCCCAUUAAGAUGUGAUGUGUCAUCAGGUGAUAGGGCGGGGAGACAGGGUGGUCACAUGCUGGUGGUACUUGACUUGUGAGUAUUACUGAUGUUGGCAAGGCUUUUCCAAAGAAGACGACUGUGCGAAGUUUUCUAAAGAUGGACAGGUUUAGAUCUGCCUGCUGUCCUCUGACAGAGGUUUUCCCUGUCCUCUGCAAUCAAGAGGCUUGAUAAUGGUGUUAACACUAGUGAAUCCACUGUGGCUUGUUGCAUCGUCUCCACCAGGGUCACAGUUCUGGUGCUUACUAAUAUAUUCAGUGGUUUUCUUCAAAGAUGGAGCUGCUUCUCCUAAGGUGUAAUUGCUUCAAGGUAGCCACUGACUUCAAGCUUCUGAGGUCAGCUCCUGGGAACAGUUCCUAAAAGUUCCUUUUUAGAAUUGUGUGUGGGUUUUGAUGGACCUCUUUGUACUGUAGAAUUCUUGCAGCUCCGUCAGCUCUAUUAAGCCAUGAUUAAUGGAAAGAUACACUUUCGAGGUUGUCUACUCCAUGUCCUCCUCUUGUAAAAUUGCGGUCUGUAUGCCAAGUGACUGACGCUAGAGCAGUAGCUGCCAAAUACCUGUCCUUUGUAUCAAGUGUUGGCUUUUUCUGUGUUUGGUAGUUACCACCAAAUUGUUAUGGAAUAAAAAAAACCCUCUCAUAUGACA
Numida meleagris (helmeted guineafowl) is the source of this 4422-nucleotide long non-coding RNA. RefSeq lists it as uncharacterized. NCBI's taxonomy places the organism in Eukaryota, Metazoa, Chordata, Aves, Galliformes, Numididae. The transcript is spliced from 5 exons. The record is from RefSeq and is a predicted model, not a curated record.